UAACCCUCAACUCACUGGUUUUUUCGAAAAUGGGUGAGUUUGAACAAUGGAUGAUGCAUUUCUGAUGCUCGUCUGAAAUGAACAAUCAACCUGUUGUGUUGCACUUUUGUUAUAGUUUUUCUCUCAAAAGAGUGAUGUGACAGAGGGUUGACUUUGGAUUUUGAUCCACUUUUAAA
This 176-nucleotide unclassified non-coding RNA is filed under the name uncultured Microbotryomycetes. RNAcentral's name for it is "sequence contains ITS2". The record is from RNAcentral. Lineage: Eukaryota; Fungi; Basidiomycota; Microbotryomycetes.